CAACUACUCCCUCUGUCCUGAAUUUCUUGUCUUAGAUUUGUCUAGAUACGGGUGUAUGUGUGACUUGAUACAUCCGUAUCUAGACAAAUCUAAGACAAGAAUUUUGGGACGGAGGGAGUACUUU
Non-coding RNA from Triticum aestivum (bread wheat), 124 nucleotides. Lineage: Eukaryota; Viridiplantae; Streptophyta; Magnoliopsida; Poales; Poaceae. The record is from Rfam.